GCUGGCGGCGUGCCUAAUACAUGCAAGUAGAACGCUGAAGAGAGGAGCUUGCUCUUCUUGGAUGAGUUGCGAACGGGUGAGUAACGCGUAGGUAACCUGCCUUGUAGCGGGGGAUAACUAUUGGAAACGAUAGCUAAUACCGCACAACAAUGGAUGACACAUGUCAUUUAUUUGAAAGGGGCAAAUGCUCCACUACAAGAUGGACCUGCGUUGUAUUAGCUAGUAGGUGAGGUAACGGCUCACCUGGGCGACGAUACAUAGCCGACCUGAGAGGGUGAUCGGCCACACUGGGACUGAGACACGGCCCAGACUCCUACGGGAGGCAGCAGUAGGGAAUCUUCGGCAAUGGGGGCAACCCUGACCGAGCAACGCCGCGUGAGUGAAGAAGGUUUUCGGAUCGUAAAGCUCUGUUGUAAGUCAAGAACGAGUGUGAGAGUGGAAAGUUCACACUGUGACGGUAGCUUACCAGAAAGGGACGGCUAACUACGUGCCAGCAGCCGCGGUAAUACGUAGGUCCCGAGCGUUGUCCGGAUUUAUUGGGCGUAAAGCGAGCGCAGGCGGUUUGAUAAGUCUGAAGUUAAAGGCUGUGGCUCAACCAUAGUUCGCUUUGGAAACUGUCAAACUUGAGUGCAGAAGGGGAGAGUGGAAUUCCAUGUGUAGCGGUGAAAUGCGUAGAUAUAUGGAGGAACACCGGUGGCGAAAGCGGCUCUCUGGUCUGUAACUGACGCUGAGGCUCGAAAGCGUGGGGAGCGAACAGGAUUAGAUACCCUGGUAGUCCACGCCGUAAACGAUGAGUGCUAGGUGUUGGAUCCUUUCCGGGAUUCAGUGCCGCAGCUAACGCAUUAAGCACUCCGCCUGGGGAGUACGACCGCAAGGUUGAAACUCAAAGGAAUUGACGGGGGCCCGCACAAGCGGUGGAGCAUGUGGUUUAAUUCGAAGCAACGCGAAGAACCUUACCAGGUCUUGACAUCCCGAUGCUAUUUCUAGAGAUAGAAAGUUACUUCGGUACAUCGGUGACAGGUGGUGCAUGGUUGUCGUCAGCUCGUGUCGUGAGAUGUUGGGUUAAGUCCCGCAACGAGCGCAACCCCUAUUGUUAGUUGCCAUCAUUCAGUUGGGCACUCUAGCGAGACUGCCGGUAAUAAACCGGAGGAAGGUGGGGAUGACGUCAAAUCAUCAUGCCCCUUAUGACCUGGGCUACACACGUGCUACAAUGGUUGGUACAACGAGUUGCGAGUCGGUGACGGCAAGCUAAUCUCUUAAAGCCAAUCUCAGUUCGGAUUGUAGGCUGCAACUCGCCUACAUGAAGUCGGAAUCGCUAGUAAUCGCGGAUCAGCACGCCGCGGUGAAUACGUUCCCGGGCCUUGUACACACCGCCCGUCACACCACGAGAGUUUGUAACACCCGAAGUCGGUGAGGUAACCUUUUGGAGCCAGCCGCCUAAGGUGGGAUAGAUGAUUGGGGU
This 1462-nucleotide ribosomal RNA is filed under the name uncultured organism. RNAcentral's name for it is "SSU rRNA". It matches the Rfam family "Bacterial small subunit ribosomal RNA". The record is from RNAcentral.